GUGGGGAAUAUUGGACAAUGGGCGAAAGCCUGAUCCAGCCAUGCCGCGUGUGUGAAGAAGGUCUUCGGAUUGUAAAGCACUUUAAGUUGGGAGGAAGGGCAGUAAGUUAAUACCUUGCUGUUUUGACGUUACCGACAGAAUAAGCACCGGCUAACUCUGUGCCAGCAGCCGCGGUAAUACAGAGGGUGCAAGCGUUAAUCGGAAUUACUGGGCGUAAAGCGCGCGUAGGUGGUUUGUUAAGUUGGAUGUGAAAGCCCCGGGCUCAACCUGGGAACUGCAUCCAAAACUGGCAAGCUAGAGUACGGUAGAGGGUGGUGGAAUUUCCUGUGUAGCGGUGAAAUGCGUAGAUAUAGGAAGGAACACCAGUGGCGAAGGCGACCACCUGGACUGAUACUGACACUGAGGUGCGAAAGCGUGGGGAGCAAACAGGAUU
RNAcentral lists this ribosomal RNA (433 nucleotides) under uncultured Pseudomonas sp. RNAcentral's name for it is "bacterial SSU rRNA". It matches the Rfam family "Bacterial small subunit ribosomal RNA", at positions 354 to 779 of the family's 1533-position model. The record is from RNAcentral. Lineage: Bacteria; Pseudomonadati; Pseudomonadota; Gammaproteobacteria; Pseudomonadales; Pseudomonadaceae.